UGACUCUUUAAUACAGUUCCUCAUGUUGC
RNAcentral lists this non-coding RNA (29 nucleotides) under Mus musculus (house mouse). The record is from RNAcentral. Lineage: Eukaryota; Metazoa; Chordata; Mammalia; Rodentia; Muridae.